This is a long non-coding RNA of Symphalangus syndactylus (siamang), 580 nucleotides long. RefSeq lists it as uncharacterized. Lineage: Eukaryota; Metazoa; Chordata; Mammalia; Primates; Hylobatidae. The record is from RefSeq and is a predicted model, not a curated record.
CUCCUCCCAGCCCCUGGCAACCACCCCACUCCACUUUCUGUCUCUACGAACGGACUACUCCAGGAACAUCAGGACAACUGGGCCUCACCCCAUAUUUCUCUCCAUCCUCCUAUGUGGCCUUGAAGCAAGCCAGCAAACAGCCUGACAUGUUAUCCUGGAUGGAUGAGUGUGCCCUGUUGACACAGCUUCAAAGAACAUCAACCAUAUGGAAGCAGUUUCGCCCGUCUCCCCAAAGAUACCUGGGAAUGAUAAAAGUGACAAGAAAUGGCACCAGGGACUCCUUCUGUAUACCACUUGCCUUCACCUAGUGGAAAUAGUGAGACUAGAAUGUAAAUGUGUUCAGAAAGAAGCCAGACUUUCCCAAAAGUCAUCAGAAGACCACAGUUCAGCAGCCCGUACACACUCUUCCAUGGUUCUGGCCUCACCUACCUGUCUUAAGUCCAGAGUGAUUGUGACCCAGUGAUACUCUCUCCCAUUCUGAAUGCUGGGACUUUGCCACCAGUUAUUGGUGCCAUCUAUGGCAUGUGAUAUUGGAUGGCGUUCUGUUAAAAGAAAAUAAAAAACAUGAAUUCCUCUUGGC